Molecule: ribosomal RNA, 704 nt
Filed under: uncultured bacterium
Lineage: Bacteria
Description: bacterial SSU rRNA
Rfam family: Bacterial small subunit ribosomal RNA
Source: RNAcentral
AAUUCGAUUGAGUUUGAUCAUGGCUCAGGAUUAACGCUGGCAGCGUGCCUGACACAUGCAAGUCGAACGAGCGAAGCCCUUCGGGGCCGAGCGAGUGGCGGACGGGUGAGUAACACGUGAGGAACCUACCUUCAAGUGGGGAAUAACUGCCAGAAAUGGCAGCUAAUACCGCAUGCGGCUUCCUGGCGACAUCGCCGGGAAACCAAAGAUUUAUCGCUUGGAGACGGCCUCGCGGCCUAUUAGCUAGUUGGUGGGGUAACGGCCUACCAAGGCGAUGAUGGGUAGCUGGUCUGAGAGGACGAUCAGCCACACUGGGACUGAGACACGGCCCAGACUCCUACGGGAGGCAGCAGUGAGGAAUUUUCCGCAAUGGGCGCAAGCCUGACGGAGCAACGCCGCGUGUGUGAUGAAGUCCUUCGGGAUGUAAAGCACUGUCCGAGGGGAUGAACAAAUGACAGUACCCUCGAAGAAAGCCCCGGCUAACUACGUGCCAGCAGCCGCGGUAAUACGUAGGGGGCAAGCGUUAUCCGGAUUUACUGGGCGUAAAGGGCGUGUAGGUGGUUGCGUAAGUUGGUUGUGAAAUCUCCCGGCUCAACUGGGAAACUGCAGCUAAAACUGCGUGGCUAGAGUGGCAGAGAGGAAAGUGGAAUUCCCGGUGUAGUAGUGAAAUGCGUAGAUAUCGGGAGGAACACCUGCGGCGAAGG